Molecule: long non-coding RNA, 2448 nt
Organism: Acinonyx jubatus (cheetah)
Lineage: Eukaryota; Metazoa; Chordata; Mammalia; Carnivora; Felidae
Exons: 4
Source: RefSeq, a predicted model, not a curated record
AGAGCGGCCCCGCCUUCCUCGGGUGGCCGGGUUGGGAGAAGCCCCGGCGGAGCCCCGCGGCGGGGAAAGACGAGGCGGCGAGGACGCGUGGCGGCGGCGGCCUCCUUGUCGGCCGCGCGUUCCCCCACCCACGUGGGUGCCUGGGACCCUCGCUUGUUGGCGCGGCUGCCCUUCCGCCGCCACCCAGCCUCCGGCCGCCUGAUACGGGGCCAGGCGCGGAGUCGCCCCGAAGCUUCCACAUUGAGCAUGGAACCCAACCCAUUCUGCUCUAAUGGAGCCGACCCCGUUGGAGUCAAACGCGGAGGUUCUGACUGGGGCAGGUCUUGCAGUUAAGAACUUGGACUCUGGAAUCGGAAAACCUGGCCCCAGAGCCCACGACCGCUGCUUAUGAUCUAGUAGCUUCCGGCAAAGUCCUGAACCUCUCGUGGUCUACUGGCCACGGAGAGAUGGCCAGUGGUCAUCUGGAUGUGCUGGUAGAAAGGUCCACAGAAAGAGCUGGGCAGAGCUACACAGAUCCAGAAUCCGCAGCAAGGUAAAAUCGUGAAUACAGGAAACAGGCCAAGAGUGAGGAACUAACUAACUUGCCAAGUCACGGACUGAGUAAGCGAUUUGAAUCUUUGAAUCGAGGUGCGUUUGACUCUUGUCUCCUAAAAUAGGACUAGAUCGAGGGGAGAGAGGGCAUUCCAGGUAAACUGUGCAGCCGGAAAGCAGCUCCAGCGUGAAGUUAAGUGCUUGUGUGGGACGAGGGGGUAACUGGACUAGGGGAGCAACUCGGCUCUGCUCCCUAGAAACCUCGCCCACCCGCCGCCUAUGUUUCACCGUUGAGAAGAACUUCUCUCCCGGCAAGCUCUGCAAAUUCCAUCUCCCGGCUCUCAAUGGGGAGAGAUUAGGCAUCAUUUCAGAUCUGGCCUCCAGAGGGGAUGUGGGGGUGCUUGUGAUCCUGUUUCCUGUUGAGCAACAGUUGAUGGGCUCGCUCGGAAGGGUGUGUGUCAAAACCUGGGCACCCCUGCCUGGAGGCACAAGGUAUCCAGGAAGGGUGAACGUCAUUCCCUGGGACCCCUAGGUCUAAUGCCCAACAAGACUUGAGGGUUCUGGGAUGGGUCCUGGCAGCCCUAAGUCCCUGCCUGGUGCUCUGGGGAUUUGUUUGGGGGCCAGGCUCCUCCGAAGGCCAGUUGUGCCUCAAACCUGCACGUCACCCCGUCUUGGAGGGGACCUCUCUGCAGUCCCCCAACCUGUUUCCCUUUGAUCUUUGGCUCUCAGGCAGUGGACAGACUAGAGAGAAUGUGCUCUGGGCCCUGGGGGAGGAAGGAAUGUAGGGAGGGCCAGAGGAGGAGAUCAGAGAAGAUGCCAGAUGCCCAGGGAGACCCCCAGCCCCCAACCCAGGGCAUAUUGGGAGGCUGGAGAAUGGAAAAGAUGGCCUUCCGCGUUUCCGGGGAUCAGAGCCUGCUGAACUUGAUCAAAAUAGUUCAGUCAAUCCCCUGCAACCCACCAGCCCGUCCACGCACGAGAAGUGCCCGAGGGUGCAGAUUCCAGCACAGUGCAGCCGUGGGGACAGGGAGGGGGACCCUGGACGUGGCAGACCCUCAGUCCACUGGGGAAACUUUCCAGGAUGUGGGGGGUCAGAGAGGUCACAGGGGACGGGAAGGCAGGAGGAAGCCCGGAUACAAAGGCCAAUGGCCCAGACAGGUGGAGAGCGGGUGUGUGUGUGUAUGUUUUGGGGGGGGGGGGGUCUAAGGACUCAUAGAAGCCAGGGAAUCAGCACAGGAAGGGAUAAUGGCAGUAUUGUUGCAAGAGAACCCAGGGUCCUGCUCCCCAGAGCCUCCUGAUUCUGGAUUGAGGCCCCAGGAUGAGAACCCGAGCAGCAGAGAGGCUUUGGGGGUUGCCGGCUCUUCCAGCAAGAAAACUGGAAGGUGGUGACUCACCCCCGCCCCCCAACCCUCCAACCCCCCACAGCCCAAGGGCCACAGCGGACAUUCCAGACCCAGCACCACAGCCAGGCCAGGGUGACUCAGAGGGCUGGUUGUAGCCUCCCUGCCAGGGACUCCGCCUCAGAAGUCGACUGGGGCUUCAAGCUCAUCGGCUGACUCAGAAAGCAGAUAUCCCUCUCUGAUCUCUCUUACACCAGGUGGCAGAUUUAUACUUCCUCUCCUGCAGAGGAGACAGAGACGCAAGCUUUGCUGAGCCAUCUGCUCUGCGCCUUGCCUCCCCAGUCACCUCUCGAGCCCGGUCGUGGGCCCAAACGUGUGUGUGCACGCCAGCCCCGGUACCACUCCGGUCAAGAUGGGUCCUUUGCCGGAGGAAUCUUCGAGAAAGAAGAUACUUGGUCCAGGAGAUCGUAAUACCCUGGCAUGAUGACAGAUAGGUUAACCACCCUUACGGCGGCGAGCGAUUUUUAAUGGAUUAUAAUUGUCAGGUCACUAUGCCAUACACCCCAGGCCAAUGUCUGAA